GUGUGAGGCGGAGGAAGGUGGGAAUGACUUCCAGUCCUCAUGGCCUUUAUGACUAAGGCUGCACACGUCCUACAAUGCGGCGUACAAAGGGAAGCAAACCCGCAAGGGGGAGCAAAACUCAAAAAGCGUCGCUCAGUUCGGAUUGCAGGCUGCAACUCCCCUGCAUGAAGCUGGAAUCGCUAGUAAUCGCGGGUCAGCAUACCGGGGUGAAUGUGUUCCUGAGCCUUGUACACACCGCCCGU
Molecule: ribosomal RNA, 242 nt
Filed under: uncultured Planctomycetota bacterium
Lineage: Bacteria; Pseudomonadati; Planctomycetota
Description: uncultured planctomycete partial 16S ribosomal RNA
Rfam family: Bacterial small subunit ribosomal RNA
Source: RNAcentral